Neofelis nebulosa (Clouded leopard) is the source of this 3218-nucleotide long non-coding RNA. RefSeq lists it as uncharacterized. The record is from RefSeq and is a predicted model, not a curated record. The transcript has 2 exons. Lineage: Eukaryota; Metazoa; Chordata; Mammalia; Carnivora; Felidae.
UUCACAGUUGGCUGAGUGAGGCUGGGGCUGCCAGGCCUGCUGAACUCACAGCCAGUUCCCUUAGAUCAGGGAGGUGGAAAAAACCCAAGAAUGUGAAUAAGUAUUUUCCUUACAACCUUCAUUAACUAUGUCUCUACAUGGCCCGGGAGAUGUUAAUUUCCUUCUGUCCAGGUCUCACUCAUAGUGACAGAAACACUGUCUGGGGGCGUCUCUGCCUCCUGGGUCCCCCGUGUAGGGAGAGGCUCCCUCCCUUUCCAGGCAAACUAGGAAAAUGAUGAUGGUGAUGGUGAGAGUGGAGAUAAUGGUGAUGGUGGUGAUGGUGGGUCAGCAGCUGGGCAUACAGCUCUGGGUUUUGAGAACAGUCAGGCUGGAGGGCAAAAAUGGGAUGUUGUCUGUGACACUUAUGUGGUAUUUAUCUCAGACCAAGGCCAGGGCCCUCUGUGUGGGGUUUGCAGGGAGGAGACUGGGAAGGACGGGCGUCUGGGACACGGAGAGCGGAGGCACCUGCCUUUCUAGUCUCUUCCGACAUCCCACCUCACGAUCAUGUGUCCCGAGCCCGGGUGGCCCUUGGCCGCACGCAUGCCUGGGGACGGCAGGGUGGCCGGCCUCCUCCUUCCUCGGCACCGCUCCCCGUCCCGACCACACCCUUGGCAGGACCAGCCCCACGAGGAAGUGCAUUCCGGCAGCUUUCGUCCUGGGCGCUGCAGCUGGGUGGGCGGGAAGGUGGCCCGCCCAGGACCCUGUGCUUUUCUGUCUUCGUUUAGGGCAACAUGAAGCAACAUUAAGCUCUAAACCAGAGACUCAGAACCGCAGGAUUCCAUCGUGCCCGGUGGAGCAGAGAAUGCUCACUGGGCCCAGACAGUGACCGGCCCGCCGUCCCUCGCUGGGCCCAGACGAUGGCCUGGCUGUGCUCCGCACGUGGACCAUGCUGUGCGUGGCUAACGCACCCGCUCCGUGUUUCCGUUCUGCACCACAGGCGGUUACCUGGAAAUGGGAGGAUGGUUCAUGAUGAAAACUGAGCUCAUAAGGCUCAAUGCCCAGCGUGGGGCUUGAACUCACGACCUCGAUAUCAAAAGUGGCAUGCUCCACCGACUGAGCCAGCCAGGAGCCCCACCCGGUAGCCUUUAUUAGAACCAAUUUCCUGAUUCUCGGGCAGCCGGGAAGGCUGUGUCCCAGACUGCGCUCGUGGACCCAAGCCAGUUUGUUCAAGAGAAACUCGGUCCUUUGUGAGAGGUGGAGACCCUAAGUGGACUCCUUCCAGAAAGCACGGGAACCCCCCGUGACGGCCUGAAGUGACUAAAACACGACCAGGAGGCACAUCCCUGCCCCAGCCCUCCCUAGGCAAACUUCGUGUUCAACGCACCUGAGAGUCAGGUAAAUACCGACAGCAGGUUAAAUACGAGUUGAACCAUUAGAACAGAAAAUACAGCUGGUGAGCAGCCCAGAGAGGCUGCGGGCAGGCCCAGCACCGACUGAGCUCGCCGCCCGGCACAGGUCGUUCGUGUCUGUAGGAACCACUGAUCUGGACACCCGCCUCCCCCUCUGUCUCUCUGCCGCUGGCCCGCGUGUUUGUCGCGCCCACCUGGGUGUCGCAUGGCGCACAGUUCCGGGGAAGGCUCCCGAACGCUCCUGAGGAGAAGCCACUGACGAGUUAUACACAGCUCAGCCCCGGACGCAGCACGCGAACCUGAUGAGCGGAGCUGUGGACAACCCCAGCAACCUGACGGGGGGCCCCCGAGCAAGGGGCUUCGAGGCCAAGUUUGAUACUGAAAGAGAAAGCCCGCUGACAGAGGCACACGUGGCACCCGAGGAUGCCUGCAGGGUGACAUCCACCCGUCUGAGCUGCUCUGCCGUCCAGCACCCACCAGGAGGGCCAGUACACAGGCAGGCCUCAGUUUGCCCAUCUGUAAGAUGGGACCCAGCCGCGCUGCAGGGAGAGCAAAGGAGGCUGUGCCACCAGGGGCAGGGGCCGUGUGAGCCGUCCGCAAGCGUCCUGGGGCCACCCUCCCAGCAGGUGCUCACAGUUAAGAAACACAGACUUAGACUGUAUCUCUUCCUGCUUCAAACCCUCCACGCUCCCGGGAACCUCCCCGCGCUCAGCACCCACGCUCCUUCCCUCAAAGGCCACGUGAGCCUCCUGUUGCUGCUGUGACAAAUCACCGCGAGCCCAGGGCUGAAAACGACACACGGUCCCAGGGCCGAAGUCCAACCCGGCCUCACCGGGCUGCAGGUGUCCACAGGACGGAACUCCUUCCGGAGGCUCCAGGAGAGAAUCCGGGUCCUUGUCUGUUCCGGCUCCUGGGGGCAGAGGCCUGGGGUGGGGGGCAUGGAGUCCCCACAGAAGCACGGUAAAUAGAGAAGAGUCGAGCUCUGGGCUCCUGGGGCCCUCGCUGUAGGACCUGUCGGGUCCUCCGCUCCCCAUCAGAGUGGGUCUCCGAGAGCGGCCGGGUCGGCCUGGUGUGCCAGCUCACGCGGCCUUGGAGUCCUUGCUCAUCCCUCAGAACACCGAGUGUCACCUUAUGGCCGUUAUCCCAGGUGGGCUGCCUGCAGGCGGGGGGCUGGCAACAUGGGUUUUGAAACCCCAGUCCCGUUCGGCAACCACAGAGUGCUUUAAUCUGACUUUAAUUAGGUCAGAUUUAAAAAUUUUAAUGACAGGGGGUGCCUGGGGGGCUCAGUCGGUUAAGCAUCGACUUUGGCUCAGGUCAUGAUCUCACGGUUCGGGGGCUCGAGCCCCGCGUCAGGCUCUGUGCUGACAGCUCGGAGCCUGGUUUGGAUUCUGGGUCCUCUCUCUGCACCUCCCCUGCUCCUGCUCUGUCUCUGCCUCUCUCUCAAAAGUGAAUAAACAUUAAUAAAAAAUUUUUUUUUUUUUUAGGUUUUAAUAACAGUUCAGUUACUGAAAACUUCUAUGUAUGUUUGGAACAACUUAGGUAGAUGAAUGUCCUUUUUGGACUAUAAAUCUUAUGAAAUUUAAGUACAAUCAGUCAUAUCUGAUAACAAGUUUAGCGAGUGAAUUGAAAAGUGCUGUAAGUGUAACAAAGACACUGGACUUUGAGGACUUAUAGAAAAAAAGGAAAGUAUCCCGCCAAUAAUUCCUUAUAUUGAUCACAUGCGUAAGUGGUAAGUUUUGGCUCUAUUGGAUUAAAUAAGAUAUUCUUUCUCUUUUCCCUUAAGACAGAUCUUGCUCAGCCCAGGUAAAUAAAACGUAUUAUUACAGUUAA